CCUACGGGAGGCAGCAGUGGGGAAUAUUGCGCAAUGGGCGCAAGCCUGACGCAGCGACGCCGCGUGAGGGAUGAAGGUCUUCGGAUCGUAAAACUCUGUCAGCAGGGAAGAAAGGUCACUGUGCUAAUCAGCAGUGAAUUGACGGUACCUGCAAAGGAAGCACCGGCUAACUCCGUGCCAGCAGCCGCGGUAAUACGGAGGGUGCGAGAGUUAAUCGGAAUUACUGGGCGUAAUGCGCUCGUAGGCGGUAUGUCAAGUCAAGGGUGAAAUACCCGCGCUCAACGUGGGAACUGUCUGUGAAACUGGCAAACUGGAGUGUGUGAGAGGAUAGUGGAAUUCCAGGUGUAGGAGUGAAAUCCGUAGAUAUCUGGAAGAACAUCAGUGGCGAAGGCGACUAUCUGGCACAUAACUGACGCUGAGGAGCGAAAGCGUGGGUAGCAAACAGGAUUAGAUACCCCGGUAGUC
This 465-nucleotide ribosomal RNA is filed under the name uncultured bacterium. RNAcentral describes it as "partial 16S ribosomal RNA". It matches the Rfam family "Bacterial small subunit ribosomal RNA", at positions 338 to 795 of the family's 1533-position model. The record is from RNAcentral.